RNAcentral lists this long non-coding RNA (248 nucleotides) under Elaeis guineensis (African oil palm). Its description in RNAcentral is "long non-coding RNA (EGUI_LNC076326)". Lineage: Eukaryota; Viridiplantae; Streptophyta; Magnoliopsida; Arecales; Arecaceae. The record is from RNAcentral.
UCUCUAAACUAAUUCAUAAAUCUUCUAAAUUAUUAGAUCCAUAAAAUGAGCUAGUUAUGGAGAUAAUUAGAUCAUAACCUCCCAUUAAGGUGAAUGAUAAUGCGUCCAUUAUUUUCAAUUGACAUUGCAGGUGCCAUCCAUCUGGUGUUCUCUUAGAAUGAUAGAAUUAUCAUUUAUCAUAUGAUGACUCUGUUGUGCUAUCUGAUGAUGGUUGGAUUGAUCAAGCCAUCCUCAGACCUGAUCAUUCA